Molecule: ribosomal RNA, 373 nt
Filed under: uncultured organism
Description: partial 16S ribosomal RNA
Rfam family: Bacterial small subunit ribosomal RNA
Source: RNAcentral
GGGGGGGCAAGCGUUUGUUCGGAAUUACUGGGCGUAAAGCGCGCGCAGGCGGCCCGGCAAGUCCUACGUGAAAUCCCACAGCUCAACUGUGGAACUGCGUGGGAUACUGCCAGGCUUGAGUCCGGGAGAGGAGAGUGGAAUUCCCAGUGUAGCGGUGAAAUGCGUAGAUAUUGGGAGGAACACCGGUGGCGAAGGCGGCUCUCUGGACCGGUACUGACGCUGAGGCGCGAAAGCUAGGGGAGCAAACGGGGAUUAGAUACCCCGGUAGUCCUAGCUGUAAACUUUGAGCACUUUGUGUGGCGGGUAUCGACCCCCUGCCGUGCAGAAGCUAACGCAUUAAGUGCUCCGCCUGGGGAGUACGGUCGCAAGGCUG